UUACUUUGGCCGAGUAGUAGAUUGUAACUCUAAGAGAAAGCGUUAUGCAUGAUUGUCGGUUCAUGUUCCUCGAUGUCUAGCUUGAGUGACAUAAACAUGAAACUAGGGGAUGUGCUGUUGCCAUCAGGGAGAAAAUAACGGUGCUUGUAACCACGGUUGCAAGAAUUGUUUACCUUACACACAAUUCGUUAAUGCAGUUGUCCGUUGCUUUGAGUUUACACUUUGGGUGGGGCUCGUAACUUAAUAUCGGAGAGAUGUUCUGGAUAGAUAUCUCAAGGUGGAUGAUUAGUAAAUAGAUGUUGAGGAAUAAAUGGUCUACUUGUCUUGGCGUACUGCUCAUUACUAUUGAACCUUUAACUAUCAAGUAGCAUAAUUAGUAUUGCGGUGCGUUUAUAAUUCUGUCAAUUGCCCAACUGUGAUUUGUUUAUCCAAGCAUAGUUGUUUAUCGUCUUUUGGAAGAAAGACAAACACUAGUGGACAUCAUGUGACUCUAGUCCAUAUCACCAUCAUUGUUUACACCUCCAUCAUUUAUCGUUUUCAUUAAUUUUUCCGUUGCAAUCACUAUUACUAUUCUCGCUUGUGUUUUGAUCCUUUGCAAACUACAAGGCCGGAGAGAUUGACAACCUCUCUGUACUCGUUGGGAGAAAAGUUAUUUGUUGUGUGUGCAUGUUCACGUCUUCUGCUGACCAGGACAGGAGACACCUACUUGUUGAUCAUAGGAGUCUUCUUGGUUCGAUAAACCUUACAGUCUCCGAGUAAGGAAAAACUUGCUGCUGACUAUAUCUCAACCUUCCGCUUUGGGUAACCAACGAGGUGUGAGAAGUAUAUACAUCAUCUCGUCAUCAACGACCCAAGCCUAGCACGAGCAGCCCUGCCUCGGCCCCUGUUUUUAGGAGUUUGCGGGCAGUCUUUGCCGAAGUGCCCAGCGCGCUUGCAGAUGAUGCAGCGAAGGGGUCAUGGCAGUCAACGCGGCGGUGGCGUUUGCUAAGGCAGCGGAAGCACCUUUCCUUGAACUGUCUUAAGAAGGN
Molecule: long non-coding RNA, 1028 nt
Filed under: Hordeum vulgare
Lineage: Eukaryota; Viridiplantae; Streptophyta; Magnoliopsida; Poales; Poaceae
Description: long non-coding RNA (HVUL_LNC000377)
Source: RNAcentral